GCCAACGGCCAUACCACGUUGAACACACCAGUUCUCGUCUGAUCACUGAAGUUAAGCAACGUCGGGCCCGGUUAGUACUUGGAUGGGUGACCGCCUGGGAACCCCGGGUGCUGUUGGUU
Molecule: ribosomal RNA, 119 nt
Filed under: Orchesella cincta
Lineage: Eukaryota; Metazoa; Arthropoda; Collembola; Entomobryomorpha; Orchesellidae
Source: RNAcentral